CAAAAAUUAGUUAAAUUAAAAUAACAUUAAUUUGUCAAAUUAAAAUUAUUAAUUAGUUAAUAUUUUUGA
RNAcentral lists this transfer RNA (69 nucleotides) under Wiebesia sp. DWH-2008. RNAcentral describes it as "tRNA-Asp". Lineage: Eukaryota; Metazoa; Arthropoda; Insecta; Hymenoptera; Agaonidae. The record is from RNAcentral.